RNAcentral lists this transfer RNA (85 nucleotides) under Candidatus Caldipriscus sp. RNAcentral's name for it is "tRNA-Leu". It matches the Rfam family "tRNA". Rfam says of the family: Transfer RNA (tRNA) molecules are approximately 80 nucleotides in length. Their secondary structure includes four short double-helical elements and three loops (D, anti-codon, and T loops). The record is from RNAcentral. Lineage: Bacteria; Candidatus Caldipriscota.
GCCGGGGUGGCGGAAUGGCAGACGCGGCGGAUUCAAAAUCCGCUGGGCUUCAACGCCCGUGCGGGUUCAAGUCCCGCCCCCGGCA